AACCCAUGGUGAGGGCACCUUUUCAAUAAAUCCUUAUACCUCUCCCAUGCAUCAUAUAGUGUCUCUAAGUCC
This is a non-coding RNA of Gossypium hirsutum (cotton), 72 nucleotides long. The record is from Rfam. Lineage: Eukaryota; Viridiplantae; Streptophyta; Magnoliopsida; Malvales; Malvaceae.